CAACCCUCCGAAACCCCAUUGCUAUGAGACCUUCCUCCCACAUACCUGGAGUGAACUGCCUCUUUCUUCCGCCUGCCCUUGCCCUCCCCACAUGGAGGUCAGUUUCAGAUUUCACCUCCAGAGCUGCCAGGGUUGCAAACCAACAAAUCUGAACUUGUCCAUUGAGACUCCACACUGCUCACUGCCACUGCAACUGCCUUGGUUUUUCGGAAGGACACUGGGGAGAGAAUCAGCACACACUAUUUCCACUCCUGAAAGUCACAGAGUAAAACUGAGAGAGGAAUAUGAUUGAGCAAGGAAAAAAGUUCUGAACGGUCCUCACUGUUUCUUCCUGCUCCACGGCCUGGUGCUACCGAAAGAGGCACAGGUGGCAGUGUUAGUGGAAUGUUCCACGGAAGGAAAAGGCUUCCUCUCACUGAUCUCAAGAUCUCUCAAGACAUAGAGGCUUCCCAGAAUUUCAAUACAGUGGAGUGGCAAUGCCACACAAUCGCCAACUUGUGGAGUACUCUUAAUUUCUAGAAAUACUUUUGACACCAACAUUCUCAAACUUGGAAGAAAU
This is a long non-coding RNA of Condylura cristata (star-nosed mole), 559 nucleotides long. RefSeq lists it as uncharacterized. The transcript is spliced from 4 exons. The record is from RefSeq and is a predicted model, not a curated record. Lineage: Eukaryota; Metazoa; Chordata; Mammalia; Eulipotyphla; Talpidae.